GACGAACCGUGCGAACGUUGUUCGGAAUCACUGGGCUUAAAGGGCGCGUAGGCGGGCCUCCCAGUCCGAGGUGAAAGCUUUCGGCUUAACCGGAAAAGUGCCUUGGAUACUGGAGGUCUUGAGGGAGGUAGGGGCAGCUGGAACUUCCGGUGGAGCGGUGAAAUGCGUUGAUAUCGGAAGGAACGCCGGUGGCGAAAGCGAGCUGCUGGAUCUCUACUGACGCUGAGGCGCGAAAGCCAGGGGAGCGAACGGG
Molecule: ribosomal RNA, 253 nt
Filed under: uncultured bacterium
Lineage: Bacteria
Description: partial 16S ribosomal RNA
Rfam family: Bacterial small subunit ribosomal RNA
Source: RNAcentral